CAGACUAUACUUUCAGGGAUCAUUUCAAUAGUUUCUGACUUGAGAAAUGUGUUUCUAAAGUGUUUGGUCUCGCUAACCACAAUGAAGAGUUGUGAUAUUCCCUUCUGAGCAUGAAGCUGACAGAGAGUCAUGAUUCACUUCAUAUCUUCUCUGUCAUUGAUGAUUGUUCUGCUCUUCUCCAUGAAGUACUGAGGAAGGGCAUAUGAUCAGAGUGGAU
Molecule: small nucleolar RNA, 217 nt
Organism: Sparus aurata (gilthead seabream)
Lineage: Eukaryota; Metazoa; Chordata; Actinopteri; Spariformes; Sparidae
Source: Ensembl